Triticum aestivum (bread wheat) is the source of this 135-nucleotide non-coding RNA. NCBI's taxonomy places the organism in Eukaryota, Viridiplantae, Streptophyta, Magnoliopsida, Poales, Poaceae. The record is from Rfam.
UUUAUACUCCCUCCGUCCCAAAAUUCUUGUCUUAGAUUAGUCUAGAUACGGAUGUAUUUAAUACCAAAACGUGACUUGAUAUAUCCGUAUUUAGACAAAUCUAAGACAAGAAAUUUGGGAUGGAGGGAGUAUAUC